Argentina anserina (silverweed cinquefoil) is the source of this 1826-nucleotide RNA transcript. It is a transcript of the gene named putative anthocyanidin reductase, with no coding region annotated. The transcript has 7 exons. Lineage: Eukaryota; Viridiplantae; Streptophyta; Magnoliopsida; Rosales; Rosaceae. The record is from RefSeq and is a predicted model, not a curated record.
UAGGUAGACUGGUGCUGUUCUUGACAGAAGAAAGUGAAUUGAAGAAAUGGAGGGUUCAGAAUGUGAGGACAAUAAAAAUGGAGCUCCGGCAGUUUACUGUGUCACCGGAGCCACUGGUUAUAUCGGGUCGUGGUUGGUGAAGACUCUCCUUGAAAGAGGCCACAGUGUUCAUGCCACAGUCCGCGAUCCUGACAAGUGUGUGCACCUAUUAUCAUCGUUGACCGGCACUGACCGGUUGAGACUAUACCGAGCUGAUUUGCGAGAAGAAGGAAGCUUUGAUGAGGCUGUUAAGGGCUGUGAUGGGGUUUUUCAUGUUGCAGCAUCAAUGCAAUUCAGUUUUCCUGAGGAAGAGAAAUGUGAGAGUUAUGUUCAGUCGAAUAUCAUCAACCCUGCAAUCAAAGGAACCUUAGACCUCCUUAAAUCCUGUCGAAAAUCAGGUACCGUGAACAGGGUUGUGCUCACCUCUUCAAUUAGUACUAUGACUGCCAAAGAUAGCAGUGGAAAUCCAAUCUCUGUAGUUGAUGAAUCUUGCAAAACUCCUGUUGAUCGUGUCUGGGAUGCAAAAGCAAGUGGAUGGGUUUAUGCCCUUUCAAAGAUCCUCACGGAAGAAGCAGCAUUCAGAUUUGCAAGUGAGAAUGGGAUUGAUCUUGUUUCAGUAAUAACAAGUACCGUUGGAGGACCAUUUCUCACUUCCACUGUCCCAUCAAGCAUUCGAGUUCUUUUGUCACCAUUAACAGGUGACUCUGAGCUCUAUGGGAUAUUAUCUGCUGUAAAUGCAAGAAUGGGAUCAAUUGCUUUAGUCCACAUUGAGGACAUAUGUGAUGCACACAUUUUUUUAAUGGAGCAUGAUGAAGCAGAAGGUAAAUACAUAUGUGCGGCGCAGAGUUGUCCAAUAUCUGAGUUGGUUCAUUAUCUGGCUCAGGCAUAUCCAUCCUCAAAUUUAAAAAGCGUUGUGUUAGAGGAAGAACAGAAUAAUCCAGUACCCUCUAAGAUAUGUUCAAAGAAGCUAAGAGAUAUGGGAUUUAGUUACAAGCAUGAUAUAGAAGAUAUUAUUCACCAGUCCGUUUCUUCUUGUAUGCAUUUUGGCCUUCUACCUCGUAUUGCAGAGUAACUCAUCAUGUCUCCCAUGUAUACAGUGUUAUUAUUGAAGGCUUGAAGGAAGCCGCAUUGGCCCUUAAUUACUUAAAAAGAAACAGGUAACUCUUCAUUAUAAUUAUUUGAAACAGGUAUCGUUUUCCUGGUCUAUUCAAACUUAUAUAUAUGUCAUCAUCAAUGAAGAGAUGAUUUUCAGUGCUUGGGAACCAUGUAUAUAAGUAUAUUUUGUAUCUGCAUUUCCUAUACAAUAUAAUGCUACAUCCUGACAUUGAGGUUUGCAAGACUGAUGUUUAUGCAAGCAUGGCGCCAUGCUGCCAUGGCGAUAUGAACUCUGUAGCGUGGGGGUCAACUAAUCUAGGAUUGCCAGCUUAUUGGUAAGCAGAGUCCAAGUAGAAGUACUGGUGAGCCAGCUGAGAUUCAUCAUUGCUAAGCAACUGGCACACUGAAGGAGGAGAAAGAAUAGUCCUUGUCAAGGAGUAAUGUUGAUUGCUAUAAAGACCUUAAGUUCUGUUCAUCUGCAACCAAGAUAGCUAGCUACCUUCACUAGUUCACUUCAAACAUAAAUACUCAAAAUUGAAUGUUGAUGGGCACAUCAUGAUUCCAGACAGGUGGUGUAAGCAGUAGGGAAACAAUUAUGAUCUGCAUGUGCCUCAGAGGAAGUUAGAUGCCCUUACAUGGGUGUACAGAUCAGUAAUUUAACCCUUAUAGUGCCCAUUGGAAGGUCCAUGCCC